CCUGCACUCUGGGACAAGCCCUGGAAACGGGGUCUAAUACCGGAUAUGACCGUCUGCCGCAUGGUGGAUGGUGUAAAGCUCCGGCGGUGCAGGAUGAGCCCGCGGCCUAUCAGCUUGUUGGUGAGGUAGUGGCUCACCAAGGCGACGACGGGUAGCCGGCCUGAGAGGGCGACCGGCCACACUGGGACUGAGACACGGCCCAGACUCCUACGGGAGGCAGCAGUGGGGAAUAUUGCACAAUGGGCGAAAGCCUGAUGCAGCGACGCCGCGUGAGGGAUGACGGCCUUCGGGUUGUAAACCUCUUUCAGCAGGGAAGAAGCGAAAGUGACGGUACCUGCAGAAGAAGCGCCGGCUAACUACGUGCCAGCAGCCGCGGUAAUACGUAGGGCGCAAGCGUUGUCCGGAAUUAUUGGGCGUAAAGAGCUCGUAGGCGGCUUGUCACGUCGGUUGUGAAAGCCCGGGGCUUAACCCCGG
This 474-nucleotide ribosomal RNA is filed under the name Streptomyces sp. 1CM13. RNAcentral describes it as "bacterial SSU rRNA". It matches the Rfam family "Bacterial small subunit ribosomal RNA", at positions 130 to 618 of the family's 1533-position model. The record is from RNAcentral. Lineage: Bacteria; Bacillati; Actinomycetota; Actinomycetes; Kitasatosporales; Streptomycetaceae.